CCGCCCGCCCGCUGGCUCUCGGGCCCAGCCGGGCUGCCUGGUUAGCCCGGGGAGGGCCACAUCCCUGCCGCCCCAGUCACCGCCCUUCUUGAGCCGGGAAUCCCGCCCACGCCGCGCCACGCUCCGCCCCCGGAACAUACUAGGCGAUCUCGACAGUCGCUCCGUGACAGCCCACCAACCCCCAACCCUCUACCUCGCAGCCACCCUAAAGGCGACUUCAAGAAGAUGGAAGGAUCUCACGGAUCUCAUUCCUAAUGGUCCGCCGAAGUCUCACACAGUAGACAGACGGAGUUGAGAUGCUGGAGGAUGCAGUCACCUCCUAAACUUACGACCCACCACCAGACUUCAUCCCAGCCGGGACGUCCUCCCCCACCCGAGUCCUCCCCAUUUCUUCUCCUACUUUGCCGCAGUUCCAGGUGUCCUGCUUCCACCAGUCCCACAAAGCUCAAUAAAUACCAAGAGACCUGCAUUUACAGCAGGGGGAACAUCUCACACCCUUGCAUAAGUUAAAAUAAAUAUUACGUACACAUCUCCAUCACCUAGGAGGACGUACAUAAAUACAUAUAAAUAUUAAUUAGGAGCAAUAAGAAAUAAAUUAACGACGCUCUCCUUCCCACCGGGCCUAGCCCCAGCUGGGCUGUGCCUCGGUCUCUAUGCGCCUCGGUCUCUGUGCGCCUCGGUCCCGCCUCAAGCACCGGGUGGCGUCUCCGCUGUAGUGUUCUGAGUUCAAGUUGCCUCGGAAGUCCCAGUUGGGGAUACGCUCUCGCGCACCAGGUACGCCUGGUGUUUCUUUGUGGUUUUUCGG
RNAcentral lists this long non-coding RNA (805 nucleotides) under Homo sapiens (human). Its description in RNAcentral is "non-protein coding IER3-AS1:9". The record is from RNAcentral. Lineage: Eukaryota; Metazoa; Chordata; Mammalia; Primates; Hominidae.